RNAcentral lists this ribosomal RNA (252 nucleotides) under uncultured bacterium. RNAcentral describes it as "partial 16S ribosomal RNA". It matches the Rfam family "Bacterial small subunit ribosomal RNA", at positions 524 to 776 of the family's 1533-position model. The record is from RNAcentral.
UACGGGGGGGGCAAGCGUUGUUCGGAAUUACUGGGCGUAAAGGGCGCGUAGGCGGCCUUCUAAGUCGAACGUGAAAUCCCUGGGCUCAACCAGGAACUGCGUCCGAUACUGGAAGGCUUGAAUCCGGGAGAGGGAUGCGGAAUUCCAGGUGUAGCGGUGAAAUGCGUAGAUAUCUGGAGGAACACCGGUGGCGAAGGCGGCAUCCUGGACCGGUAUUGACGCUGAGGCGCGAAAGCCAGGGGAGCAAACGGG